Molecule: ribosomal RNA, 468 nt
Filed under: uncultured bacterium
Lineage: Bacteria
Description: partial 16S ribosomal RNA
Rfam family: Bacterial small subunit ribosomal RNA
Source: RNAcentral
GACGAACGCUGGCGGCGUGCUUAACACAUGCAAGUCGAACGGAAAGGCCCUGCUUUUGUGGGGUGCUCGAGUGGCGAACGGGUGAGUAACACGUGAGUAACCUGCCCUUGACUUUGGGAUAACUUCAGGAAACUGGGGCUAAUACCGGAUAGGAGCUCCUGCUGCAUGGUGGGGGUUGGAAAGUUUCGGCGGUUGGGGAUGGACUCGCGGCUUAUCAGCUUGUUGGUGGGGUAGUGGCUUACCAAGGCUUUGACGGGUAGCCGGCCUGAGAGGGUGACCGGCCACAUUGGGACUGGGAUACGGCCCAGACUCCUACGGGAGGCAGCAGUGGGGAAUAUUGCACAAUGGGCGGAAGCAUGAUGCAGCAACGCCGCGUGGGGGAUGACGGCCUUCGGGUUGUAAACCGCUUUCGCCUGUGACGAAGCGUGAGUGACGGUAAUGGGUAAAGAAGCACCGGCUAACUACGUG